GAUGAACGCUGGCGGCGUGCUUAACACAUGCAAGUCGAACGAUGAAGCCCAGCUUGCUGGGUGGAUUAGUGGCGAACGGGUGAGUAACACGUGAGUAACCUGCCCUUGACUCUGGGAUAAGCCCGGGAAACUGGGUCUAAUACCGGAUAGGAGCGCCUGUCGCAUGACGGGUGUUGGAAAGAUUUUUCGGUCAUGGAUGGACUCGCGGCCUAUCAGCUUGUUGGUGAGGUAAUGGCUCACCAAGGCGACGACGGGUAGCCGGCCUGAGAGGGUGACCGGCCACACUGGGACUGAGACACGGCCCAGACUCCUACGGGAGGCAGCAGUGGGGAAUAUUGCACAAUGGGCGGAAGCCUGAUGCAGCGACGCCGCGUGAGGGAUGACGGUCUUCGGGUUGUAAACCUCUUUCAGUAGGGAAGAAGCGAAAGUGACGGUACCUGCAGAAGAAGCACCGGCUAACUACGUG
Molecule: ribosomal RNA, 466 nt
Filed under: uncultured bacterium
Lineage: Bacteria
Description: partial 16S ribosomal RNA
Rfam family: Bacterial small subunit ribosomal RNA
Source: RNAcentral